UACAGAGGGGGCAAGCGUUGUUCGGAAUUACUGGGCGUAAAGGGCGCGUAGGCGGCCUGCUAAGUCGAACGUGAAAUCCCCGGGCUCAACCCGGGAACUGCGUCCGAUACUGGUGGGCUUGAAUCCGGGAGAGGGAUGUGGAAUUCCAGGUGUAGCGGUGGAAUGCGUAGAUAUCUGGAGGAACACCGGUGGCGAAGGCGGCAUCCUGGACCGGUAUUGACGCUGAGGCGCGAAAGCCAGGGGAGCAAACGGG
RNAcentral lists this ribosomal RNA (253 nucleotides) under uncultured bacterium. RNAcentral describes it as "partial 16S ribosomal RNA". It matches the Rfam family "Bacterial small subunit ribosomal RNA", at positions 524 to 776 of the family's 1533-position model. The record is from RNAcentral.